CCUACGGGAGGCAGCAGUGGGGAAUAUUGGACAAUGGGCGAAAGCCUGAUCCAGCCAUGCCGCGUGUGUGAAGAAGGCCUUCGGGUUGUAAAGCACUUUCAGUGGGGAAGAAAGCCUUGGGGCUAAUACCCUCGAGGAAGGACAUCACCCACAGAAGAAGCACCGGCUAACUCCGUGCCAGCAGCCGCGGUAAUACGGAGGGUGCGAGCGUUAAUCGGAAUUACUGGGCGUAAAGCGCGCGUAGGCGGUCUGAUAAGCCGGUUGUGAAAGCCCCGGGCUCAACCUGGGAACGGCAUCCGGAACUGUCAGGCUAGAGUGCAGGAGAGGAAGGUAGAAUUCCCGGUGUAGCGGUGAAAUGCGUAGAGAUAGGGAGGAAUACCAGUGGCGAAGGCGGCCUUCUGGACUGACACUGACGCUGAGGUGCGAAAGCGUGGGUAGCAAACAGGAUUAGAUACCCGAGUAGUC
Molecule: ribosomal RNA, 465 nt
Filed under: Vreelandella stevensii
Lineage: Bacteria; Pseudomonadati; Pseudomonadota; Gammaproteobacteria; Oceanospirillales; Halomonadaceae
Description: partial 16S ribosomal RNA
Rfam family: Bacterial small subunit ribosomal RNA
Source: RNAcentral